AGAACGAACGCUGGCGGCAUGCCUAAUACAUGCAAGUCGAACGAACACUUCGGUGUUAGUGGCGCACGGGUGCGUAACGCGUGGGAAUCUGCCCUUGGGUUCGGAAUAACAGUUGGAAACGACUGCUAAUACCGGAUGAUAUCGAAAGAUCAAAGAUUUAUCGCCCAGGGAUGAGCCCGCGUAGGAUUAGCUAGUUGGUGAGGUAAAGGCUCACCAAGGCGACGAUCCUUAGCUGGUCUGAGAGGAUGAUCAGCCACACUGGGACUGAGACACGGCCCAGACUCCUACGGGAGCAGCAGUAGGGAAUAUUGGACAAUGGGCGCAAGCCUGAUCCAGCAAUGCCGCGUGAGUGAUGAAGGCCUUAGGGUUGUAAAGCUCUUUACCCGAGAUGAUAAUGACAGUAUCGGAGAACUAAGCCCCGAUAACGUCCGCGCCAGCAGCCGAC
This 445-nucleotide ribosomal RNA is filed under the name uncultured soil bacterium. RNAcentral's name for it is "bacterial SSU rRNA". It matches the Rfam family "Bacterial small subunit ribosomal RNA", at positions 26 to 518 of the family's 1533-position model. The record is from RNAcentral.